Gallus gallus (chicken) is the source of this 3017-nucleotide long non-coding RNA. Lineage: Eukaryota; Metazoa; Chordata; Aves; Galliformes; Phasianidae. The record is from Ensembl.
UUUUUUCCCCUACGCUUAUCAACAGCUUUCCUGCAGGCAAGGCAAGGUGUGCCUGCCCCACACCCCACGUGGAGCAGGCGCUGCACUGCUCUGUCCUUCUGCAAAUGCCCACCGCAACCUGCUGCACUCAUCUCCCAAAGAUCAAAGGCUACUUUGAAUCUUAGACUAACUUCGCUGCAAGGAAAGCCCUGCAAUAUUUACAGUCGCGUUUCCAGAAAUAGAAAGUUCCCUAAUUCUGAGAAUUACAAGCAAAGCAUCAGUUAGCACGCAUUGACAUCCCAUGGUCCAAUGUGACGUAUCCCCAUUUCCCCACAGAUGUGGCAUAUCCCCAUUUCCUUGCAGCCCCUGUGCAGAGUCCCACACAGGGGCCGUGUAGCUCCUUGCUGAGCACAGAUCCUGCCCAGGAGGUGUGUGGCCCCGUGCCCAGGCCCAUGGUGCAAUGUUAACCACAUUCGCUGCAGGAAGUAUGCUUCCCAGGUGUCUGGUUUCCCUCGUUUGUGGGCAGAAAUGAUUUGGAGAGAAAAAAAGAACAAGCACCUAGAUCUUAUCAGCUAACAGUGCAUGGCUGAACCUACCCAAUUUGUACCUCAUGAGUCAUGAAGGUCUAUCGUGCAUGUCCUCUAGACACUGAGUUUUGCUCUUGAACCUUUGUGAGAUGCUAUCUGAGGUCAGGAGGAGCUUACACAAGGCAAAACGCUCUCUGGUGCAGUCCUCAUCCCCCGGUAAGAGGCGAAGCAGCUGACAGUAAAGGCAACUGAAGGUAGCUGCUGCCAGAGGAAGGCUGAAGAGACGGUUUCCCACCAAAAAUAAAACAAAAAAAAACCCCUACACUAACAAAAGUGUCCCUGUGCCUCCAGUAAGGCCAGGGUGAGGUGGCUGAGGACUGGCGAGCCCUGAACCUUCUGUCCCUGCUCAGCACUGGUGCAAAGCACUGAUGCUAGAAAGGCACUUUGUACAGAAGAUGCACCCAUGUGUGCACACAGACAUGCAGUCCACAGUGAGCUGUGAAGCAGACACAUGCAGCAGUGCACACCUGCACCCACACCUCAGCACUCACACCUGUGCACACACGUGCACAGCCACCACCUGCAGGCAGAACAGGCACGUGGAGAGCCCAGGCACACCGCUCAGCUGCAGCUCCCUCAGAAGCAAGGCUCUGCCCUGCUCCAACAAAGCCGAUGAAACACAGUCUGGUGAGUGAAGGGACCCAGCUCACACCCUGCAGGCCCAAGGGACGCCUCCAAACAGCCAGCACUCAGCCCUUGGUGGCUUGCAGGCUCACACAUCACCUAGGCCAGGACAGCAGCUCUGGGCCAGCCCACAGGUGGCUCAACCACCACACGCCAUCCUCUGAGGAAAGCAUGCCCCAAGUCCAGUGCUUGUCUUCUGUCUUCAGGGAAGGCUGUCCCGCAGCUUCUCCUCCCUGCUUAUCACAGAGAGCUUGCACCGAGCACUGGGGACACCCUUCCACCUUCGUGCUCUAUUUUCUCCCUCUCGUGCUCCACCUGGAUACCUGGGCUCUGGCACCCAGUGAAGGCAAGGAACUUCCCUCUAUCCAAAUUUCACACCACUGAGGAGACCUCACCUGAAAAGUCCUCCAUGGAGCUGAAGGCUCAGCUGUCCUCAGGGGAUGUGAGCUCUCUGCAGCAGUGUACAGCAGCAGGACAAGAGGCAUACAGUGAGACUAGAGAGGUGCUGAGUGUAUAGGAGAAACUCCCCCCAGAGGACAGUCAAGUUGCCCACUCUGCUGUCUCCACUGUCUAGACUUUGCAGGAGAGCCCUGAGAACCCGGUCUUACUCCUGGCUGACCGCUUUGAGCAUGAGGCUGGAACAGAAACUUCCCAACUUCCAGCCUCCCACCUGAGUCCCACUGCAGUCUGCACCCAUGCUGAGAGACUGAUGUGCACCCUCUCCUCUCCCAGCGCUCCUGCUGAGGCUCCUGCUGUGCUUCACACUCAACUCCCCACUCAGAGCUCCACCAAUUUCUACGACCCACACACCAGCCUUCUUCUUCUGCCCCACUCACACAGCCUCCCACUUCCACAGCACAAGGAGCUGUACAGGAUCCUUGCAGUAGCAGGGCUACACCCGUGCUCACAGCCCCUGAGCGAGUCCUGCUCAUUUCUGGGCUUCCCUGUCCCCUUCCAGAGGUGGUGGGAUCUGUCUGGAGUGAUCUGUCUUGGGUUUCUCCAUGGAUCUAUCUUAAAGCCUUUGCCUCUCAUGGAUAGAUUUUAAAGCCCCCCUCCAUGUUUUCUUCUCACUUUUCCAGAGAAAAAGGAAGGGAAGAGCUUGAAACAGAAGAUGUGCAAGCAAAGAUCAGAAGACAUCAUCCCUGCCUCUCUCACUUCUGGAGGAGAUGCUGUCCUCCCUAGGCUAUGGGCAGAGCUGGGCUGACUCUAGGAUUUGAGUGAGGAUGAGAGAACCCUCCAUGCAGAUCUCUGUCCCAAACCCCCAUGGUCCAAAUUCAGUGCUGGAUCCCACUCUAAAGCCAGAUGAGAAUCCCUGGGCUUUGUCCGAUCAAGUCGAGAAGAUCUCUGAGGGUGGAGACCCCACAGCCCCACUCGGUCUCUCUCAUUUCCAGGGGCUGCCGGCAGAACUCCCCGCUUUGAGCCCCAGAGUCCUCCCCACCUCCUGCAGCACGCAGCGUGCCACUGGGCUCAGCUGCAUCCCCGAACCUUUCCCAGUCCUGGCUGUGUCGCUGGUGUACGGCACAGCACCGAUGCGGCAGCAGUGUGACAUCAGCGACGCACCACCGCCAGCACCACAUACCACACCUGCACGGCUCCGGCUCGAUGGGACCGGAGAGGGCAUCCUCCUGCCUCCCUCCUGCCCGAGCCCGGCAGGCGUUUCACUCUGCGAGCAAAGUCACGAACAGCAGAGUUGUUUUUUUUUUUUUCCAGCGGCGUCUUCCGAGAGUCCCAGGCAUCGGCACCGGGAGGGAGCGGGGAGGGCGGCGGAGAGCUCUGCGCCCCUGCCCGCGGAAAGCGGGCGGCACCGGGGGGGGCUCCUUCACCCGG